Molecule: long non-coding RNA, 514 nt
Filed under: Brassica rapa (field mustard)
Lineage: Eukaryota; Viridiplantae; Streptophyta; Magnoliopsida; Brassicales; Brassicaceae
Description: long non-coding RNA (BRAP_LNC006615)
Source: RNAcentral
UCGGAUCCAAAUGAGGUCGAUCGAUCCAAGAACGAAAAUAAUUUGAAGAAGACAUGUUUUUUAUGAAUCAAAUUCGUGUGUAAAGAAAGUGAGAGGGAGGAUGAAGAUAUGGUGUGAAUGAAGAGGAAGAGGGGUGCUUGUAUUUAUAGUUGAAAUCCUGCCGACGGUCCGAGGAAAUUCCGACGGAAUUCCGAUGCAAACGGCUAGUUCGUCGGAAUUUCCUCGGAAUUUUUAAAAUCCCCCCAACGGCUCUCCAACGGCUCUCUAACGUCUAUAAUAUUUCCUCGGAAUUCAUCGGUUUUUUCCGAGGAACACUAGUUUCCUCGGUAUUCCGUCGGAAUAUUCCGACGAAAUGAAUUUUCCUCGGAAUUCCGUCGGAAUAUUCCGACGGAAUUCCGAGGAAGCAAAAUUUUGUGUUUCCUCGGAAUUGCCUCGGAAAUGCCUCGGUAUAUUCCGAGGAAUUCAUUUUCCGUCGGAACGUCCGUCAGAAUACCGCUGUUUUCUUGUAGUGUGA